CAGAGGGGGCAAGCGUUGUUCGGAAUUACUGGGCGUAAAGGGCGCGUAGGCGGCCUGCUAAGUCGAACGUGAAAUCCCCGGGCUCAACCCGGGAACUGCGUCCGAUACUGGUUGGCUUGAAUCCGGGAGAGGGAUGUGGAAUUCCAGGUGUAGCGGUGAAAUGCGUAGAUAUCUGGAGGAACACCGGUGGCGAAGGCGGCAUCCUGGACCGGUAUUGACGCUGAGGCGCGAAAGCCAGGGGAGCAAACGGGAUUAGAUACCCCGGUAGUCCUGGCCCUAAACGAUGAAUGCUUGGUGUGGCGGGUAUCGAUCACUGCCGUGCCGAAGCUAACGCAUUAAGCAUUCCGCCUGGGGAGUACGGUCGCAAGGCUG
Molecule: ribosomal RNA, 372 nt
Filed under: uncultured organism
Description: bacterial SSU rRNA
Rfam family: Bacterial small subunit ribosomal RNA
Source: RNAcentral